CCAAAACAAAGAGAAACUAAGUUUUUUUCUCAGCUUUACUCGCGAUUUGCUCUGUUUCAGUGAAUCAAUAACAACACAAAAAAAAAAACCGCUCUCUUCCUCACUCGCUCUCUCGAUGAAAUUCAAACUACAACAUCAAAAGCUCAUACGCCAAUCUCUCUCGAUUCAUUCUCUCUCGGUUUAGUUCAGUUAUGGCCACAACAACAACAAUCGAAACCAAACACAUCCCUCUCGUUCUCUUUUGAUUCUCUCACGGAUUCAAGAACAUAUUAACAUUCAAACAGCUAAGCAAUCACAGCAUAUAAAUCCAAUUCCCAGCAAGAACCCUAAAAGCCCAUUCCAAUACGAUUCCGAAGAGAUUUACAAGAUACAAAUUUCAAUCGAUUGAAAGGAAAAAUUAACGGAAAAGGAAAAACGAAAGAAAACAGGUUUGUGGAGCAGAGUUUUGUUUUGUGCAGCAGACAUGGCAUGGGAUGAGCAGGUUGUCUGGCGUGGGAAGUUUUGGUGAAGAGGGAAACAACAUCUUUUUUUCUCAUUUGUUUGUUUUUUCUGUAAAAUGGGCCAUGUUGUUCUUUUCAAUAAAUGGGCCUCAUGGCUGCAUUAUUUUCUCUAACAAUGCUAAAAAUAAUAAAAUUAAUGCAUAUAAUACAA
Vicia villosa (hairy vetch) is the source of this 651-nucleotide long non-coding RNA. RefSeq lists it as uncharacterized. The transcript is spliced from 2 exons. The record is from RefSeq and is a predicted model, not a curated record. NCBI's taxonomy places the organism in Eukaryota, Viridiplantae, Streptophyta, Magnoliopsida, Fabales, Fabaceae.